RNAcentral lists this long non-coding RNA (3499 nucleotides) under Solanum tuberosum (potato). RNAcentral's name for it is "long non-coding RNA (STUB_LNC011590)". The record is from RNAcentral. Lineage: Eukaryota; Viridiplantae; Streptophyta; Magnoliopsida; Solanales; Solanaceae.
UUUGAUCUUCAAUAUCCUAAAUUUUUUCUUAAGUUAUUAAAGCAAAAAGAAAAUAACUUUACAUCAAUCGUUGUAGAAUCAAGACUAAUAUAAGGUAAGUUAGUGGUAAACUUCUAAAUUUAUAUUUUUAAUUAAUAGUUUAAUUUUAAUUUGUAGUUUCAAUAUUGAUGUAAUUUUUUUCUUAUUUUGAUAUAUAGAUGAAUCAAGGAAAUUUUAUACAUCCUAGACCAAUUGAGUAUGAUGUUUUAACGUUAUAACAAGAUCAUCGAUCUGAAAAAAUCUAAAAUGGUGAAAUAACUGCGAAGGAUACACAUUUAACAGUGCACCGAUAUGAUCAUGAAUUAUUGCAACACAUACUAAAUAAUUCACGUCAUCGUUGUGUACUAAAUUAUUUUAAUUACACGGAUUUUAGAGGUGUUCAUGAAGUAGGAUACAUUCCGUGCGAUACCAGCAUUAUUACUACUUUGAUUGAAAGGUGACGGCCACAAACUCAUACCUUUCAUAUGAGUACUGGUGAAACAACAAUAACUAUGCAGGACAUGAAAAUUAUGUUCGGCAUGAUUGUUGAUGGUACACUGAUUCUUCUAAAAAACGUUAAAUUCAUAGAUUUGGUUACUAUAAAAAAUUAAAUUUAUGAUUUAACCGGUUGGUUUCCUCCACAAAAUUGUUUUCAAGGGUAUAUAAUUUUUUUUAUCAUCAUUAAUUAAUUAUAUAAAAAAUUCAAAUGAAAUAAUCAAUAAUUCCACUGAUGUAGAGGUACUACAAAAAUUUAGAUUGUACUUAUUUUGGUUGCUCAGAGGAACAUUAUUUCCUGAAGGAAAUUUACUUAUGAUUUUUUUUAAUUGAAAUGAGUGACAUACAUGUAUUAGCAACACAAGCUUGGGGAGCUACCACACUUUCUUACUUGUAUCAUUCAUUAUGUGGUGAAGUAAGAAAGUGUGGCAGCUUCCCAAGCUUGUGUUGCCAUUGCAUGUAUGCUACUCAUUUCAAUAAAAAAAAAUCAUAAGUAAAUUUACUUCCUGAUUUAUUAGGAAAUAAUGUUCCUCUGAGCAACCAGAAUAGGGAGAAUCUAACUUUUUGUAGUACCUCUACAUCACUGGAAUUAUCGGUUAUUUCAUUUGAAUUUUCUAUAUAAUUAAUUAAUGAUGAUGAACAAAUUAUAUACCCUUGAAAGUAAUUUUGUGGAGAAAUCCAACUAGUUAAAUUAUAAAUUAAAUUUUAUCUUGUAACCAAUCUAUGAAUUUAGCUUUUUUUAGAAGGGUGUACCAUCAACAACCACAUCAAACAUAACUUCCAUGUCCUGCAUAAUUAUUAUUGUUUCACCAGUUCUAAUAUGAAAUAUAUGAGUUUCUGGCCACCACCUUUCAAUCAAAGCAGUAAUAGUCGGCAUUGCACAGAAUGUGUCCUACUUCAAGAACACCUCUAAAACCUGUGUAAUUAAAACAAGUUAAUAUACGAGGAUGAAGUGGAUUAUUUUGUAUGUGUUUCCAAAAUUCAUGAUCAUGUCGGCACAUUGUUAAAUGUGCAUCCAUCGUAGUUAUUUCACCAUUUCAGAUUUUUUCAGACUGAUGAUCUUGUUGUAACGUUAAAACAUCAUACUCAAUUGGUUUUAGAUGUAUAAAUUUCCUUGAUUCAUCUAUAUAUCAAAAUGAGAAAAAUAAAUUACAUCUGUAUUGAUGCUACAAAUUAAAAUUAAAUCAUAAUUAAAAAUAUAAAUUUAAAAAUUUACCAUUUAAUUACCUUAUAUUAGUCUUGAUUCUACAAAGGAUUGAUGUAAAGUUAUUUUUUUACUUUGAUAACUUAAGAAAAGAUUUAGGGUAUAGAAGAUUUAGAUUUAAAUAUUUAUAUAUUUUGGGAUGAGCUAAUAUUAAGAAUUUGAAUAAAUAAAAGAUUAUUUUCUAGAAUAAAUAAUAAUAAAAAUUGAGCCGGGUGUAUUUUUAGAUCAAAAGCUGAAAUGAGGGGCAUCUUUGAACUAAAAACAAAGAUGCUGAAUAUUUUUAGACCAAAAAAUGGAAGGAGAGUAAUUAUUUACUUGUGUCCAGGGGCGGAGCUAGCAUAUAGUUAGGAGGUUCAUCUGAACCCCAUUCGGCGGAAAAUAUUACUAUUUAUAUAUGGUUAACAUUAUUUUUUAUGUAUACAUAGUAGAUGUCGAACCCCCUUCGAUUAGUUUGUGGUUUACUUCUUCAGAUUUUGAACCCCUUAUUAAAAAUCCUAGCUCCAUCAUUGCUUGUGUCACGUUUAAAUAGGUACGAACAUAUGAUGUCAUCCUUCUAUUUGCUUGAGCAUAAAUUCUUUCUUCUAUUAUGUUUUUUUUUUUGUUUUGUUUCAUAUAUAUUUGAAUUUGAUGAUGUAUAAUUAUAUCAAGUUGCUUCUUUUUUUAUACACAGUUGUGGCUUGAUAUUUGGUGACUGCAACAUGAACUUCUUCAUCGAACAAUGUUUGAUUAUAAAGAUUUAUAUGUUAAGCUAUACAUCAGAGCAACGAAAUCUUAGUAGGUUAGUUGGUGGCCCUGAACUUUUAUCUUAUUUUGAUUCCCCAUUAUAAUUAACCACCUCCUUUAUUUUCCGUUUCCUUAUCGCCAAUUAAUAAAAAAUGAUAAGUCAUAUAUACUCCCUCCAUUCUACUUUGGUUACCUUAUUUACAAUUUCUUCUGUGUCAAUCAGUAUGAUAUAUUUUGCAUUUCGAAACUCAAACGAUUAUAUUUUCAUAUGGCUUAUGAAUAUGAAGUGCUGGUGAUUGUAAUUUAUAAAUUUUUUUACAUAAUUUUCAAAUAUGUAGAUUUUAUUUUAAGACAUUUUAAUAUUACGUACUAUCAAAAUUAAGAAUUUUUCUUCUUUAAUGUUUUUUCUGAAAAUAUUUUUCAAAUGUAUAUAUUAAUUUUAUUUCCAAUAAUUUGAAGAAUCUAUGUCCAAAAAUUAAAUGUAAUUUGACCCUCGUACUGGGAACCACACCAAACAAUGUGGAAUGGUAGGAGUAACUAAUAAAGAACAUACCAUGUGAUUUAAGUUUUUUUGUUGGUUAUCCUUCCAGUGCUCAGAUUAAUGUGGAUUCACGUCGAAAAAUUUCAAUUUUUUUUGAUACUUUUGCAUGUUGAGGUUGAUCAGAUGUGUGACCACAAAGUUUAUUGUUAUGAUGCAGGUAGAUUGUUGAAAGAAUUAGCUAUCACGGAGUACAUGCAGAAGCAAAAUAUUAGAACAAAAGUAUAUAAAGUUUUUGGAAGAGCUCGCAACUCAUUUGCUAUCCUUACCAUUUCAUCGCAACAAUAAAAGAGUUGCGAUGUUUAAUUACUCUCUUCAUCUCAAUUUAUGUGACAUCAUUUGACCGGAUACGAAGUUUAAAAAUAAGGGAAGACUUGGUUAUGCUACCCAAUUGUCCUUACUAAAGUUGCCUUAAUGCUUACUUUUAGUUGAGUUUUCUUCUCAAUAAAGUCUGAAUGACAGCAAAAUAGUAAUCAAAAGUGCAUACAUGUCUGUGAAUCCUACAAUAUAUAUUUCACCAC